Humulus lupulus (European hop) is the source of this 13174-nucleotide long non-coding RNA. RefSeq lists it as uncharacterized. The record is from RefSeq and is a predicted model, not a curated record. The transcript is spliced from 2 exons. Lineage: Eukaryota; Viridiplantae; Streptophyta; Magnoliopsida; Rosales; Cannabaceae.
GACAGGGAUUAAAGAACAUGCCUAUUAGCAUUGCUAUACAUGUAUAAAUGCUUUAACAUGCUUAUAUGCAUCGUUAAUUGCUUAUGAAUGCCAAAAAUGCUUAUUAACAUUGUUGUUUGAUGAUGAAUAUCAGGAAGUGCUUAUUAGCACCAUGAUUGAAUGUAUUAUGUGUUGGCAUGCUUAUUAGCAUUGCAUUUUUUUGUUUGUUCGGUCUUGGACCGUUAGGUAGAAAAAGGUAUAGUUAUUACAUACCUAACGACCAAUUUGAUCGCUGCAGAGUGGGAUAGUUAUUAGUAUGCUUCCUCGAAGGUCAGAGAGGUUGGCUGGCCAAGAGAUACGGGCCAGGGAAGAGAAUGACCAGGGCCAAGCCCCACCACCAGCUCCAGAAAACUGGUAAUAGGUGCUUGUUGAUAUGCAAGCUAGGUUACAGAGGUUGGAAGAGGAGAUUCGCAUCUUGAGACAACAACAGGUUCUAGCAGGGAACCUACCGCCCACAGUACCAGCAGUGAUACAGUCAGAGGUACCAAUGACAAUACAACCCCAGGCAUGGGUAGAUAAAUGGGAACCUAUGUAUGAGAGGUUCAGAAAACAACACCGUCUAAUUUUGAGGGUAUCUCAAAUCCACUGAAGGCAAAGCAAUGGAUGACUAUGAUAACCACCAUCUUGGAUUUCAUGAGGGUAGUGGUAAUGAGAGAGUGGUAUGUGCCACUUACAUGUUUCGGGAGGAUGUCCGAAUAUGGUACGAAGUGGUAUCCUAGACCAGGGCAAUGAAUAUUAUGGAAUGGGAGGAAUUUAGAACUAUGUUCAAUGAAAAAUACUACAAUGAAGUAGUUAAAGUUGCGAAGGCUGAAGAGUUCAGUAAGUUACUUCAGGGCAAUAUGUCAAUGACUAAUUAUUCCCUAAAGUUCGACAAAUUGGCAAAGUUUACCAGGGAUUUAGUGCCAACUAAUGGGACCAGAAGAGAGAGGUUUCUCCAAGGGCUACAACCUAUGAUAGACUGAGAUGUUUGUAUUACUACUGUGCUAGAAGUGACUACCUAUGCACAAGAUGUGGAGAAGGUGCUUACAACUAAGAGCGUAGAGAACAAGAUCUGGCGCGAGAAUGUGUCCAAAAAGGAUUCUAGGAGGCCAGGACCUCCAUUUGCAGGAUUUGGUAGGGGCGAAGGCCCUAGUGACCAAAAGAGAAAGACUCCAAAUACAGUUUUAGCUCGAGGUCUAGAUAGGACGCCACAGGGCAUACAGAUAGGCCAUUAGGGUGGCGGUGAGACUUGGAAAGCAUUCACAAAGUGUACUAGGUGCAGGAGGCACCAUAUUGGGGAAUCUCGGGCGAAGGCUUGCUUCAUCUGCGGGAGUGUGGGACACCUGAAGAAAGACUGCCCGAAAGCCAAAAAGGAAGAGCCCAAGAAGGUGGACAACCUUACGCCAGCUCGGGUGUUCACCUUGACCCAAGCAGAGGUCGAGGCUAGUCCCUCAGUGGUUACAGGUCAACUUUCUAGUGUUGGGACCCUUUAUACUGUUUUGAUUGACUCGGGUGCUACACACUCUUUUGUUGCUUGUAGGAUUAUAGAUGGAUUGUGUAAACCGUGUGACUUUUAUCCUGUAGGGUUUUGGUACUAUGCUGUGUAUUGGGGAGUUAGUGGUUUCCAGGAGAUGGGUUAGAUCAAAAUGGAUGCCUGGGAGUUGUUAGUUGACUUGGUAAAGUUGGUUAUGACUGAUUUUGAUAUAAUUCUAGAUAUGGACUGGUUAGAGAAGUAUAGGGCAACGAUAGAUUGCAAGAAUAGAUGGUAACCUUUGAGUCUGAGGGUGAAGACCCCUUUUUAUUCGUUGGCACUGUGCAUGGGCCUCGUGUACCUAUGAUAUCUGUACUUAGAGCUAGAGACCUAUUGUAGGGGGGAUGCAUAGGAUUCUUAGCUAGUGUGGUGGAUACCACUCAGGUCAUACUAGUGGGAUCAGGACAGACCAGAUUAGUCUGUGAGUUUCUAGAUAUGUUUCCAGAGGAUCUGCUAGGGUUACCUCCACACAGGGAGAUAGAGUUUAUGAUUGAACUGGCACCAAGGACAGAGCCAAUGUCUAGGGCACCUUAUAGGAUGGCUUUUGCAGAGCUGAAGGAACUAAAUGUUCAAUUAAAGAAGUUGCUAGAUUUGGGUUUUAUCAGGCCCAUUUUCUCGCCAUGGGGGGCCCUAGUCCUCUUCGUGAAAAAGAAAGAUGGUUCUUUGAGGAUGUGUAUCAAUUAUAGAGAACUGAACAAGUUGACUAUCAAGAACAUGUAUCUUCUACCAAUGAUUGAUGAUCUGUUUGAUCAGUUACAGGGUAGGACGGUAUGCUCCAUGAUAGAUCUUCAAAUUGGUUAUCACCAACUGAAGAUUAGGGAAGAGGAUAUAUCGAAGACAACUUUUUGUACUAGGUAUGGGCAUUAUGAGCUUUUGGUGAUGUCAUUUGGAGUGACUAAUGCCCAGCAACAUUUAUGGAUUUGAUGAAUAGGGUGUUCAAUGAUUACCUGGAUUGAUUUUCUUAUCGUAUUUAUCGACAAUAUAUUAGUAUACUCUCAGUCAGAGACAGAGUACGAGCAACAUCUCAGAUUAGUACUACAGAGGCUGAGAGAACACAGGUUGUAUGUGAAAUUCAAGAAGUGCGAGUCCUGGUUGCCAUAAAUGACUUUCUUGGGUCACAUAGUCAGCAAAUAUGAAAUUAUGGUGGAUCUAGCAAAGAUUGAGGCGGUCAGAGAUUGGCUAAGGCCGAAGAAUGCUUCAGAGUUCAGAAGUUUCUUGGGAUUGGCAAGUUAUUACAAACGCUUUGUGAAAGGGUUUUCCAAGAUUUCAUAACCACUGACAGAGUUGGCACGCAAGAAUCAGAGGUUCAUAUGGUCAGACAGGUGUGAGGAAAGUUUCCAGAGAAUGAAGAAGAAUUUGAUCACCACUCCAGUUCUAAGUCUUCCCACAUAUCAGGACAAGUUUGUGGUUUAUUGUGACGCCUCGAGGUAGGGCCUAGGUUGUGUCCUUCUGCAGACAGGGAAGGUGAUUGCCUAUGCAUCACGUCAGCUAAAGAAGUAUGAGUAGGGGUACCCCACACAUGAUGUGGAACUUGAAGCAGUGGUUUUUGCACUGAAAGUGAGGCGACGCUACUUAUAUGGUGAGAAGUGUGAGAUAUAAACUGACCACAAGAGCUUAAAGUACUUCUUUACACAAAAAUAUCUGAAUAUGAGGCAGAGGCAUUGGCUGGAGUUGGUGAAGGAUUAUGAUUGUGAAAUCCUCUAUCACCCAGGGAAAGCCAAUGUGGUAGCAGGUGCCUUAAGUCGGAAGGGUCCGGGAUAGUUGUAUAGUGCUAGGUAGAUUUCUAGGGAGUUGGCUAAGGAUAUGACUAAAGCAGGUAUUGAACUAGUGGUUGGCCAGUUAGCCAACAUCACCCUCUAAUCUACUCUUUUGGAGAGGAUCAGGGAGAACCAGUUGAGUGAUCCACAAUUGGGAAAGAUUAGAGGGGACAUCCUAGCUGGAGUAGCUAAGGACUAUAUAGUGUCACACAUAGGUUUAUUGAAAUACAAGAAUCAAAUCUGCGUUCCGAUGGACACUGAGAUCAGACGAGCGAUUCUAGAUGAAUCUCAUACUAUCCCUUAUUCUCUACAUCCAGGCACCACAAAGAUGUACCAGGAUCUGAAAGCCAUGGCCUGAGAUGAAGAGGGAUGUGACUGAGUACGUGGCGAAGUGCCUGACAUGUCAGCAGGUUAAGGCAGAGCAUCAAAGACCAGUAGGGUUGUUACAGUCUCUCGAUAUCCCAUAGUGGAUAUGGGAGGACAUCACGGUGGAUUUCGUGGUAGGAUUGCCCAGGAUAGUGGGCCAGCACGAUUCAAUUUGGGUCAUCGUGGAUUGGUAUACGAAAUCAGCUCACUUUCUACUAGUGAGGACAAAUUUCUUGGUUAACCAUUAUGCAGAUCUCUAUGUGAGAGAGAUAAUACGCCUUCAUGGGACUCCGAGGUCUAUCGUGUUUAAUAGGGACCCUGUCUUUACUUCCAAGUUUUGGGGAGGUUUACAGAAGGCAAUGGGUACACAACUGAUGUUCAAUACAACUUAUCAUCGUCAGACCGAUGGUCAUUCUUAGAGGACUAUCUAGAUACUGGAGGACAUGCUAAGAGCAUGUGUAUAGGACUUUGAAGGUAACUAGAGUAAAUAUUUGCCUAUGAUAGUGUUUUCCUAUAAUAACAGCUAUCAGUCGACUAUUGGAGUGGAACCUUAUGAGAUGAUGUAUGGUUGGAAGUGCAGAUCGCUCGUUCACUGGGAUGAGAUGGGUGAGAGGAAAUAUUUGGGUCCAGAAGCAGUUCAGAGGACCACUCAAGCUAUUGAAAAGAUUAGAGCUUGGAUGCUCGCGUCUAGAGUAGACAGAAGAGUUAUUCAGACCCAAAGUGGAGGAACGUGGAGUUCCAAGUGGGAGACUAUGUCUUCCUUAGGGUUUCACCACUGAGAUGGGUGAAGAGAUUCGGGAAGAAGGGAAAUCUGAGCCCUAGGUUUGUUGGACCAUUUGAGAUCUUGGAGAGGAUCGGUCAGGUGGCCUAUAGGUUGGCUUUACCCCUUGCACUAUCUAGUGUGCACAACGUAUUUCAUAUUUCCAUGAUGAGGAAGUGUGUCUCAUAUGAGAAUCAUGUAUUGAGUUACGAGGAUUUGGAACUGGAGACAGAUUUGUCCUAUGAGGAGCAACCAGUUCAGAUUUUAGACAGGAAGGAUAAUGUCCUGAGGAACAAGACUAUACCUUUAGUUAAGGUAUUAUGGAGGAAAAACAAGGUCAAGGAAGCAACCUGGGAGCUGGAGGCAGAUAUGCAAAAUUAGUAUCUUGAACUGUUCAAGUAAAAUUUCAAGGACGAAAUUUUUGUAAGGACAAGAUAGUUCUAACAUCCCAAAUUACCUAAUAAGGCUUAGGGCCUUGAUUAGGGGGCCAGGAUGGAAAUUUAUGGAAAUUAUAUGUUUAUGUGAUAUGUAUGCGUGUAAGUAUGUGAUUAUGUGAGUUAUAUGAUAAUAUGAUUAGAUAUGCAUGUUUAGGUGUAUUAAAUAUGAAUGUGGGCCCGUUUCUUAUUAGAAAGGAAAAUUUCGUAAUUUGGCCAAUUAUUGGUAUAUUUGGAAUAUAUGUGAUAUAUGUAUGAGACCACAUUAUUAUGUGGAUAUAUUUGGGUUACUCAGCACGAGACGGUCCUAGAGAGCUAGUUAGCGAGAAAGUCACAACGGGACCUAAUACCUGACUCAGGGUGAGUCAAGGGGUAUUUUGGGUAUCUAGUACAUUACCAGGUUAUCGGGUAACGGGAAUAAAUAUUUGAGGAUAUAUUUGGAGUUAGUGAGAUUAGGAGGGAAUAUAAGGGAUUUUGACCAUUUUGACUCUAGGACGUUUUUGGUACCCCGAGCCUUGGGAUUCACUUAAGGUUACUUAUCAUCUAAGUAAACCUCACAAACACUCAAACAGAAGAAAAAACACGUUCUCCUUAUCUCUCUUUCUCGGCUACACACUCUCUCCCUCAAAUUCCUGGGAAUUCUUGCGGUUUAAGGAGAAUCGAGACUAGUUUAGGCUCAAGAUUUCUUGGGGAAAGGCUUACCUCAAUUGGGGCAACAAAUGUAAUGAUUUCUAGCUCUAAAUAUCAUUAUGUUUGUGGUUUUUAUUUAAGUUUUUGGAGUUUUAGAAACUCAGUUCUGAGUUGGGAAUUUGAUAGGGUUUUGGCCAAGAUUUUGCUUGGGUUUUGAUGGUUUUGGGCUACUCAAUUGAUUGAGGACUUUACUUUUGAGUUUUAGCUAUGUUGGGAUAGGUUUUUGGUGGGAUUUGACUUGAGGAAAACAGAGAAAAAAUAGAGUUUUCAUGUCGAGUCACGGCUCUCGUGAACGCUGGGAGAAGUAGGUGCAUUUUUGGUCAUUUGAUUCGAGGUGCCUGUUAGGGCACGCCGCGACAUGUGUCAAAACAGAGGAGAGCUUAGGAUCUCUAACUUGGGGCAGGCUGAGACUCCUUUGUUUUAAGCCGCAGUGCUUGAAGGGUUUUGAGCCAUGGGAGGGUUUUUAAGUGCAGGAACUCAAACCUAAGGGCCCGGGGACGAUCCUGUUACCCGAUUUAGUAGAAUUAGAUAUCUCGGAGGCUAGGACUUAUUCUGGAAGCCUUUAUUCGAUCAUUUUGGAGAGAUUCUCUAUUGGUUGGGACUAGGUUAUUACUAGGGGCUCGGAACUAGGAUCACGGGGGUCGUUCUUAAGACACGUUACACUCGGACCUAAGGUAAGAAAAUUGCACCCAAUACGUGAUAUAUGUUAUAAGGGCUUGGCCCAAUUGUUGAUUAUAACUAUGAAUAGUGCUCGACCCCUGAGAAUGAAAGUGAUUUAGGUUAUGCUUGAACUCUCUGUAUCUGGAUAAUUGUUUAAUGAAUGCUUUUCUUGUUUACAUAGGUAGGGCUUGGCCCCGUUAAGGAACACGAUUAUUAUUGUGUUUGUGUUUGAUUGGUUAAGAUACCAUGAUUUAUAUGUAUGCAUACUUGUAUUGUCUGAAGUAUGCUUAUUUGCAUCUGUAUCUAUUUGUCUGGUUAUCUGAAUGUCUGAUUAAAGCCUUGACUUAUUAAUCAAGGGCGGCAAUAGCGCGAUGCGCGCUGGUCAAGGGCUUAGGCCCAAUAAGGGACGUACUAUUACGUUGGUCGACCCUAUGGUCAUUGGAAAACAAAGCACUUGGCUAGCUAUAUGGAAAGUUACUCAGAGAUAAGGGCAUGGGCCCCAUGUGACUCUAUGGUCACAUAGCUAAGGCAUAGGGCCCCGGGUUGACUCUAUGGUCAUCUAUCAGGGCAGCGGGCCCCAAAAUGAUCCAAUGAUCAUUUAUUUGUAAUUAUACACAUGCAUGAGUAGGAUAUUACUUCUAGGCAUGCUAGAUAUGUAUUUGGAAUCUGUAUUUACUGUUCGUGCACAUGUUUAAGUUUUCUUGCUGAGCCUUGGCUCACGGGUGCUAUGUGGUGCGGGUAAGGGGAAAUGAAAACUAGACAAGCCAUGAGUUGGAGAGCUUCGGUGGCAGCGUGUACAUAUGUGGCUGCUCGUCCAUCAUGACCAAGGAUAUCUCAAAGAAACUAGAGUUGUAACACUUAUUUUCCCGCUUAGGCAAGCUGGUUGUAACUUUUGAUUGUAUAUACCUUUUCAAACAUUUGUUUGUAACAUUUUUGGAUCCCAUGUUUGUAUUAAACUUUUAAAUGAAAAGUCAACGUUUCCUUUGACCAAAAUUUUUAACCCUUGACAUUAACCUUAGUUACCCAUUUAUAACCAAACAACUUGAUUAGCAAGUCUGACACUAUUUAAAGUAAAUAGUGUAAUGGUCCUGGAUUUGAAGGACGUUAUAGGAAUCCAUACCAAACUAUUUCUUAAUGCCUUCUGAACCAUUCUCCCAGGUCAAACAAAGGAUCAUCGAAAAUUCCUGUGCCACAAGUCAUGCCGAGUUCCUCCAAAAACCGUCCUCUAUGGAAAAAUCAAUAGCUCUUCAUAAGUUUACCGUUCAAGCUCAAUUAAGACAUUAACCUUACCUUGGCAAGUCGCCCAGGCAUGAACCCAGAACAUCAGCAAAUGGCAUCCAAAGAAUGCAAAGAACUACAACAACAAGGUUUGAUUGAACCAACCACCUCAUCAUGGGCAUGCCAUCCAUUCUACGUCAAUAAGAGAUCAGAACAAGCUCGGGGAAAACAAAGAUUGGUCAUCAAUUACAAGCCCUUAAACGAAUUUUUGGCAGAUAAUAAAUUCCUCUGCCAAACAAGAAUUCCUUAUUUUCAAGCAUGUCAAAGGCUCAAAUAUUUUCAAAAUUCGAUCUAAAGGCAGGAUUUUUGCAAUUGGGUAUCAAACAAGAAGAUAGACCCAAAAUGGCCUUCUUCAUUCCAAAUCACCACUAUACGUAGAUUUUCCUUCCUUUUGGUCUCAAAAUAGCCCCAUCACUGUUCCAAAAGGUCAUGACUAGAAUCUACGACCCCAUUCUAGAUAUAGCCCUGAUCUACAUCGAUGAUAUAUUGCUCUUCUCACAAGAUGAACAAGCCCAUCACAAGCAACUAGCCCAGUUCAUCUCUCUCACAGAAGCCCACAGAGUCAUGUUAUCCGAAAAAAAGAUGCUCAUUGGACAAGCCCAAAUUGAGUUUCUGGGAAUGAAGUUUUUUAAAGGCCAAUAUGAGGCCCAACCUCACAUAGCCCAAGAAUUACUAAAGUUCCCUAAAAAAUACUUCACAAAGGUCCAUAUCCAAGAGUUCUUAGGAAGUGUAAAUUAUUUACGGGAUUUUGUCCCUCGGCUUUUGGAAAUGACAAGACCACUCAGUGACAUGCUUAAAAAUCAAACUCCACCAUGGUGACAAGAGCAAACUAUAGCAGAUAGAAAACUAAAGGGGAUGAUGAUGACACUACCACCUUUACAGAUUCUUUUUGAUGGAAAAAGAAUAUUGCAGACAGACAUUAGUGAUUGGUAUUGGGGAGCUGUCCUACUUGAACAGGAAAAGGCAGGGAAAAGGAAAAUAUGUGGAUACACGAGUGGCCACUUCAAAAACUCUCAGCUCCACUGUCAUUCUACCUUAAAAGAAAUAAUGGCAAUAAACAUGGGCAUUACAAAAUUCGAAUUCCAUCUGAUUGGUCAUGAUUUCUUGGUAGAAACGAACUUUGUCGCAUCAAAAAGAAUGAUCGGUCUAAAAAAAAAAAUCAAGACGACAAAUGUCCAACUUUUGAGAUUGGCAGUCUGGUUCAACAACUACUCUUUUGACAUUAAACACAUCUAAGGUAAAGACAAUACUGUGGCUGAUUUCUUAUCCAGAUCACCCCUGCUAUAAAUCUAGCCUUAGGAUGCUCACCAAAAACUAUCCCUGUCGUCUCCCAAAAAUCAUCACUUACCAUCCCAUUCAUACUCAUGAUGGAUUCUUCCUCUUUUACAAAACACAAUCAAUAUUUUCCACGGGAUGCAAAAAAUAUCCCUUCAAAGAAGUUCCACAAAUCAGAAAAAGAAAGAGAAACUCACAGAGCAAUCUUUCUUCAGAAUUUUAAGAUUUCCAAACUCAGACCUUCUAUACAAAAUGACUUUGGAAUCCAUCCAAAGUAUCCAUUUGCCCAAAUCCUACCUCUUCGAGAUGCUAUAUUUACACCAAAACCAGUACCUUGAUGAGUUUUCAGUACUUAAUAAAACCUUCCCAUGAAGGUUAUUGGAAGACAAAUCCAACGAUUUUAGAGAAGGACUAUUAUUCAACAAUGAUAGAAUCCCACCUUCAAUGUUGUUAAAAUUAUUUCUUGAAAGUCCAAGAUGAACAAGGCAUUUUGAAUAAGUCAUUUCGAAUGUUGGGAGAAUGGAAUUGAAGUAGUUACCUGAAAGGUAAAGUUCUCUAAGUGGAGUCAUGUUAUGAAGAACAUUUGUAGUUGAUCCAUCAAGCAAAUUUGUAGCGUCCCAAAAUUCUUAAUAGAAUUAAGUGCUUUGAUUAGUGUGCCACAAGGGCACGAGGGAUAAUUAUGAGUGAAUUAUUUGAUCAUUAUAUUAUUAUAUGAUUUAGAAUGUAUGAUUAUGUGUUUAAAGACAUGCUUUUGUUAAGGGCAGUUUCGUAAUUAUUGACCUGUUGAUGGCGUAUUUGUAAUUAUCAUGUGCUAUGCGCUUGAGACUACAUUACUAUGUGGAUAUAUAUGCGAUUUCCAGCAUGAGUGGAUUCGUUCGAGCGGUUGAAGCGGAAAAGUCACAAUGGAAGAAAAAAUGCUCGCAUUGGGUCGAGCCAAGUGGUAUUUUGAGAAAUUAAAUAUUUUGGGAUAAUAGAUAAGUGAAAUAAAUUGGUGGAAUGUAUGUGUUUCAUGGGUUAACUUAUUAAUUGGGAAUUAAUGGUGUAAUUUAAGGUUUAGUGGGAAUUUAAAGAUAAAUGACCAUUCUGCCCCUUCUGGUGCUUUUAGAAGUGAGUUAUGGGGAGGGGUAUAAUGGUCAUUUGACUAUAAAAAUAGAGGAAAAAUGAAAACUAAGGCUGAAGUUUCCUCAUUCACAUUCAAACACUUCCUCUCUCUCUUCUUCUUCUUCUUCUUCUUCUUUUUCUUCUUCAAGUUACCAAAAGAACACACACUCUCACACUUGACAAGCUAGAACCAAUGUCCUUUGAAUUUUUGAGGAAUUGUAGAAGAGAUUGAAGCCUUCAAAGUAGCAACCGCUCAGUCAUCUUCAAUCAAGCUAGGAUUUCAAACCACAGCGAGAGGUAUAAGGUUAUCUCUUUGUUCUUAACUUUUUUUUUAUUGUUCUUGAGUUAGUUGCUAGUUCUUAGAGGAUUUUUACAAACAUCUAAGUUUCUUUUUUAAAAUUCGUGACCCUAGGAUGUGUUAAUGUAUAUAUGGAUGCUAGAAACAUGAUUUCGGUUUGAUUUAUAACUUAAAUUCAUAUUGAAAACUAGGGAUUUGACUAAGUUUUGGAGUUUGAGGAGAAUUUGGGAGCUUGGACCUAAAUUCUUGAAUAUUGAGUUAGAAGCUGAAUUUGGGCAUUUGAUUGUUGCUAUUGGGUGCCCCAUAAGGUGUACAUCUGUUUGGUACACGAUUUCUGGGCUGAUUGCAGGUUUGGGGUGAUUUGUGGUCGAUUUUGGCUUGAGAAAUAGUAGGGAAAAUGGAGAUUUCUAGGUUUAUCGCGGUGGCACCGCAACCCUUUGGGUUGGCGCCAUAGCACAAAUGCAUUUUACUUAGAGAUUGUAAUGCACUUUGACUCCUAAGGCAUCGUGGCCCUUUGGGAUGGCAUCGCGGCUCAAUAUAGGUGUUCUAUAGGCGCCUCAGCAUCAACCCUGUUUUAUGUCACGAUUUUUCAGGAUUCGUAAUUAGACCAUAACUUUUGACCCCGAUGUCGGAUUUGGACAUUCUUUAUAUGGUCGGAAAGCUUGUAAAACAUUAUACAGCCCUAGAACCUAAUAAAAGUUUAUAUGUGAUUAUUUUGGAGUCGGAAUUGUGAGUAAGCUUGGUGUUAAUCAAUUUCGAUUGGUUUUGUUUAGGGUUGGCUAAGGACACUAGAACGGGAUCACACUUGGGUCAUUUUUUCACCAUUGCUGGAAACUAGGUAAGAAAAGUUGGCAUUUCAUGUAGAGCGGGCAUUGGCCGUAUUGUAUCUAGAAAUGAUUAUGAUCGUAUAAAUUGAAAUGAGCUAGGGUUGUGUAUCCUUAUUGCAUACUUUGUUUGUUGUGCUUAUUAGUAACUGAUUUAAUUAUGAGUAUGUGAUUAUUACCGUAACCUUAGUGCCGGGAGACGCACUUUGUUAAGUGAGUAUGGAGUUAUUACCGUAAGCUUAGUGAUGCACAUUAUUUGGUUUAUUUGGUGUUGAAUGUCUAUGUAGUCUUUGAAUAUAUGUGGCUAUGAAUUAUGAGUUAUGCGAAUUGUUAUUUACAUGGCUAACUUAUAUGUGAUAUGAUUUAUUAAAUAUAUGAAUUGUUAUAUAUACACGCUGCAAUUAUUAUGCAUGCUUAUUUGAACUUUUCUUGUCGGGCCUUCACGUGUGCGCUAUGGUGCAGAUAAGGGAAAUGAGAAAGUCAACCAGCCAUGAGUUAGAGGGCAUUGGAGCGGUGCAUACAUGUUCGACCUGCUCGGUUGCCACAGUCAAGAUACCGUUAUAUGAGAGAUUUCAGAAGCAACACCCUCCAACCUUUGAGGGAGGCCCAGAUCCAUUUAGGGUUGAGCAGUGGAUAAGUAUGAUCACCUCUAUCCUUGAUUUUUAGAGGGUGGUGGGUAAUGAUAAGGUGACCUGUGCCACGUAUAUGCUGCAGGAUGAUGCUCAAAUUUAGUGGGAGGUAACCUCCUGAACUCUUAAUGUAACUGUGAUGAAUUGGGAAGAGUUUAAGGAGUUGUUUAAUGAGAAGCAUUAUAAUGAUGCAGUUCGAACAACGAAGAUGGACACAUUUGUAAAUUUGAUUCAGGGAAACAUAUUAGUGAUAGAGUACGCUUUGAAGUUCGAUAGGUUGGCCAAGUUCACCUCUGACUUGGUGCCAACUGAUGUGAAUAAAAAUGAAAGGUUUGCCCGGGGGCUAAACUCUAUGAUAGCUUAGGAUGUCAAGAUUACCUCUGUCCCUGGAGUGACCACUUAUGCUCAGGUAGAAGAGAAGACCCUUACUGCUGAGGGCAUGGGAACAAGAUAUGGAAGGAGGGCGCUUCUAGGCAUGAUGCACGGAGGGUGGUAUCUCCAUUUACUGGGUCUAGUAGAGGCGGAGGCCCUACUGAUCAGAAGAGGUAGGUCGAAGACACAUUCAACACCCCUAGACCAGAGAAGAGGAUUUGAGGUGCUCAAAGUAAAAGAGGCAUUUUUCUUAAAUUUGAUUUGUUGAAGGCGUAUUUGUAAUUAUUAUGUGCUACGUGCUUGAGACCACAUUAUUAGGUGGAUAUAUAUGCGAUUUCCAACAUGAGUUGAUCGUUCGAGCGGUUGAAGCGGAAAAGUUACAAUGGGUGGGUACAAGAUAUGGAAGGAGGGUGCUUCUAGGAGCGAUGCUCGGAGGGUGGUAUCUCUAUAUACUGGCUUUGAUAGGGGCGAAGGCCCCACUGAUCAGAAGAGGAAGGUCAAAGACACAUUCAUCACCCUUGGACCAGAGAAAAGGUUUUGAGGUGCUUAAGGUAAAAUAGGCAUUUUUCGUAAUUUUGAUUUGUUGAGGGCGUAUUUGUAAUUAUUAUGUGCUAUGUGCUUGAGACCACAUUAUUAUGUGGAUAUAUAUAUAUAUGCGAUUUCCAGCAUGAGUGGAUCCGUUCGAGCGGUUGAAGCAGAAAAGUCACAAUGAGAAAAAAAAAUGCCCGGCUCAGGUCGAGCCAAGAAGUAUAUUGAAAUUUUCAAUAUUUUGGGAUAAUUGGGUUGGCUAAGGACGCUUGAACAGGAUCACACUUGACCCAUUUUAUCACCAUUGUUGGAAUCUAGGUAAGAAAAGUUGGCAUUGCAUGUAGAGCAGGCAUUGGCCCUAUUGUAUUUAGAAACGGUUAUGACCGUAUAAGUUGCAAUGAGAUAGGGUUGUGUAUCCUUAUUGCAUACUUUGUUUGUUAUGCUUAUUAGUAAUUGAUUUGAUUGUGAGUUUGUGGUUAUUACUGUAAAAUUAGUGUUGGAAGAUGCACUUUGAUCAGUGAGUAUGUGGUUAUUACUGUAAAGCUUGGUGCCGGGAGACGCACUUUAUUAGGCAUCAACUAUACAUAUGGUGCUUGGUAAUGCAAAUUACUUGGUAUAGUUGGUGUUGAAUGUCUAUAAAGUAUUUGAAUAUA